UACGGGGGGGGCAAGCGUUGUUCGGAAUUACUGGGCGUAAAGGGCUCGUAGGCGGCCAACUAAGUCGGAUGUGAAAUCCCCAGGCUCAACCUGGGAACUGCAUCCGAUACUGGAUGGCUUGAAUUCGGGAGAGGGAUGCAGAAUUCCAGGUGUAGCGGUGAAAUGUGUAGAUAUCUGGAGGAAUACCGGUGGCGAAGGCGGCAUCCUGGACCGACAUUGACGCUGAUGAGCGAAAGCUAGGGGAGCAAACGGG
RNAcentral lists this ribosomal RNA (253 nucleotides) under uncultured bacterium. RNAcentral's name for it is "partial 16S ribosomal RNA". It matches the Rfam family "Bacterial small subunit ribosomal RNA", at positions 524 to 776 of the family's 1533-position model. The record is from RNAcentral.